Syzygium oleosum is the source of this 2963-nucleotide RNA transcript. It is a transcript of the gene named TITAN-like protein, with no coding region annotated. The transcript is spliced from 8 exons. NCBI's taxonomy places the organism in Eukaryota, Viridiplantae, Streptophyta, Magnoliopsida, Myrtales, Myrtaceae. The record is from RefSeq and is a predicted model, not a curated record.
AAAACGACGAACGACUCAAAUCGGCGCGUUUUCCUUAAGCAUCCAUCGCUCCCGCCGCGAAAUUUGCAGAGACCGAGAGUUUCCCGAGUCGAGUCGAGUCGCGUCGCACGAGUCUCCGCCGCCCCGCAUCGCCGACGCCGAUCGGGGUCAUGGUGGGAGACUCUUCGCCGCGCCGGAAACCGAACCCUAACUCCGAUCUCGCCGUCCCGAGCAACGACGCCAAGAAGAGGGCGGCGGCGGCGGCGACGGCGACCGCGAAGAGGAAGAGCGAAUUUGAGUUCUGCAAAGUCUGCAGGCACAAUCACGAUCAAGGACAGCGUCACAAGUACUUUCCGAACCACAAGAGAUCACUCUCCGAGUACCUCAAUCGGUUCCGCUCCAAAUUGGCCGACGUCCGGUUCUUUCUCGACAACCCUAGCCCGCUCCGCCCCGAGCACGUUUCUCGCAAUCGGUUCUGGUGCGUCUUCUGCGAUAUCGACAUCGAGGAGCUCGAUAGUCCGUUCGCCUGCGGGAAUGCAAUUAAUCACCUAGCGGGUGCAGAUCACCUCAAGAAUCUGAAGCAUUUUAUUUGGAAAAAUGGUGGUGCAAUGGACCGCCUGGAUGAUUUCAGGAUUUUGGAUGACGAUGUAGCUAAGUGGGAGAAGAAAUGCGAAACAUUGAAGAAAGAAGCCGUGUUAUCUGGAGAAGGAUCACAUGGACCAAUAUGUGGACCGUCAAAUGAUAUCCAAAUUGAACAAAACUAUGGGAUUGUCGAGAAUUUUAGGAAUAAUUCUGUAUAUCAUCCUCAUGAAAACUUUUUGAAUGCUGUUAUGCCUUUACAAUAUUAUACGAAUGAGUAUCAGAUAUCCCAUACUGGACCUAAUGGGGUUCCGAGCACUUGUGGUGCAUCUCACACUUCCACCUUUUCAUUGCCUGCGGAGAAAUAUCCUGAAGUAUUACUCCAGAGCUCUAGUGGUUCAACAGGGAAUGGAAGUAUGCAGUGCCCCAGUCUCCAUCGAGAUAGGAACAAGAACUUUGUUUCCAAUGGUUUCAUUGGCGAUAGUGUUGGAGGGACGAUGAAAGGAGACAGCAGCUAUCAAGGUCUGCAGCUGCUCACUCAGAUUUCUUCCUCAUCUCAAAUGGAUGUUCAAGGAAAUGUGCACUCUGGAGCACCACCUCCUUGGUUGGAUGCUUCUGAACGAAGGCAGACAGACAACCACAGACAGCUACCAUCAGUUAGCGUAAUUUCUCCUUCUAAUAAGCCAGGAAAGUCCAAGAAGUUAAACCCUAAAAGGGUGGGCGCUGCUUGGGCUGAAAGGAGAAAGAUUGAGAUGGAGAUGGAGAGAAGAGGAGAAAUAAUUAAGAGCUGCAAUGAUGCUGAAUGGCUUCCAAAUUUUGGCCGUGUUUGGCAGGCAGGCAGUCGAAAGGAAUCAAGAAAAGAAUUUGAGGUGGAGAAAAGAAAAUUGCCUAGUGUUGAAACUCAACCUGAGAUGCCAACAGAUGUACAGCCGUACGUCAGCAAGCGAUUGCGCAGAGAUGUAAACAAGUGAGAUUUGGUUGAUCUUGACAGUGUAAAUAUAUCUGCGAAGCUUCAGAUUGUGUUUGGAGCCUCUGGGUCGCUUCCACUUGGUCCAUCCACCACUACAAGAUCCCACUUUGUUUUGUACACUUCUUGUGGCAAACCUGUUAGAGCCAACCGGCAUUUUGACUGCCGAAGCAGUGCAGCCCCAGGUGCACAGGUCGAACUUCUCCUUGCAUGCUUGAGCAGUUCAUACGCCUCUUUUGCUGGUACAUUGUACUGUACCUUGUAUAUCUGAGUGCUGCUAGAUAUCUCUGUCCUAUAAUUCGUGAACUUAUUAGGAUCAUCCUCCAGUAUGAUUGUAGUGCCUCCUGCAUUUAUUGAUGAGAGGCUGAGGUAUUGUGGCUCAAGACCAAAGAUGAGAAGGUUGCAAGGUCUCCUCUGCUUGACGAGGUUUGAUAGAAGCCUAAAUUCCUUACCUGUUAGUGAGGUGGUGUAGGCAGGCGGUGUGAAAGUUGAGUUGCCUGCUAUUCCCGUUAGAACCUUACUGCAUGAUAAAGGAGAGGUGCAUGCGUGUUGCACAUGUGGAGGCAAAGCUGGAAGUGGGUGCGGAGAUGAAGUGGUGAUGACGAUUCGGACGAAUCUAAGGAUGGAUAUGGAUGCAAGGAUCAAUACGAAAACUGGUAUGAGUUUCCUUACGCUAAAUUUCAUCUUCCUAGUUCCUCUGAGUGAUUUGUGUUUGAAAGUUUGGUUGCCUUCUACCUCAGAAGGGGCUGGAGGAGAGUAGCGAAUGAGGGGUGUUGCGAGAGUGGAGGACAGAGGUACUUCUGGGGGCAUUUUCCUCUCUUUCCUCUCACCACAUCUACAGCCACCUUCACAUCAUCUUCAUAGUGUUGUAGUGGGAAGGUUUUUGACACUUUAAGUUGCUUUUGAUAGGAAUCUUUAGUAUCCUUCUAGCGUGAGGAAGAAGGACAGGUUUUUGCUUCAAUUUCAAGAGAUCUUUACGAGCUGUCAGCUGGUCACCUAACUGCAUUGUGUCAAAAUCAGAUUUGCCUACGUUUGUAUCUUCAUUAGAGAAACAUCAGAUGGUUGGUGUUUCAAUCAUUUAGCAUAUGAUGGUGGUUGACAUAUUCUGAUGUGGGUCGCUGGGAAUGCUGCUCUUUUGUGGAUAGUUUGAAGUUGAAGAAUGCAAAUUAGUUGGAAGGCCAUUGUCUCAAAAUGAUGGGUGGACAGCUUGUGAUGGAGACGGAUCUUGUUCGAAUGAAAAGUGAAAGUGCCCUCUUGAAGUCAACAUAAGAGGUUCGAUUCAGCCCAAUGAGAUCUAGCCACAAUCUUUGCCAAUUCUCGGAUGAAGGGUCAUUGUUCUUGCCAGGGGACUGAUUAUGCAAAUGUGCGCGAUAAAAGUAAUUUGAAGACACCAAAAAUAAUCAUUCAAUCAUUAAGAUGGCUGGGGUUUGAAUAGCAA